RNAcentral lists this transfer RNA (74 nucleotides) under Chloroflexota bacterium. Its description in RNAcentral is "Chloroflexi bacterium tRNA-Leu". It matches the Rfam family "tRNA". From Rfam's summary of the family: Transfer RNA (tRNA) molecules are approximately 80 nucleotides in length. Their secondary structure includes four short double-helical elements and three loops (D, anti-codon, and T loops). The record is from RNAcentral. Lineage: Bacteria; Bacillati; Chloroflexota.
GGGCCGAUAGCUCAACAGCCAAGAGCAGCGGACUUAGGAUCCGUGGGCCGUGGAUUCAAGAACCACCCGGUCCC